This 253-nucleotide unclassified non-coding RNA is filed under the name uncultured Moraxellaceae bacterium. RNAcentral's name for it is "contains 16S-23S intergenic spacer region". It matches the Rfam family "Bacterial small subunit ribosomal RNA", at positions 524 to 776 of the family's 1533-position model. Lineage: Bacteria; Pseudomonadati; Pseudomonadota; Gammaproteobacteria; Moraxellales; Moraxellaceae. The record is from RNAcentral.
UACGUAGGGUGCGAGCGUUAAUCGGAUUUAUUGGGCGUAAAGCGUGCGUAGGCGGCUUUUUAAGUCGGAUGUGAAAUCCCCGGGCUUAACUGGGGGAGUGCAUUGGAUACUGGGAAGCUAGAGUAUGGGAGAGGAUGGUAGAAUUCCAGGUGUAGCGGUGAAAUGCGUAGAGAUCUGGAGGAAUACCGAUGGCGAAGGCAGCCAUCUGGCCUAAUACUGACGCUGAGGUACGAAAGCAUGGGGAGCAAACAGG